Long non-coding RNA from Amphiprion ocellaris (clown anemonefish), 403 nucleotides. RefSeq lists it as uncharacterized. Lineage: Eukaryota; Metazoa; Chordata; Actinopteri; Pomacentridae. The transcript has 3 exons. The record is from RefSeq and is a predicted model, not a curated record.
GUUUCUCCCCACCAAGCCUGCCACCUCCGGACUGCUUCAGCCCCUCCUGGAUUUCCCCCACUUGGACUCUGUUUUGCUCCUCUCUGUUCAUGGAUUUCCCCCAGCCUGUUUUCCCCUCAGUUUUCAGUUUCCCCCAUCUUACUUUCCACCAGAUGUUGAUCCUGCUUCUGGGACUUCCUCCCUGUCAGACAGAUGAACACGACUGAGGUCCAACCCUGAUGUUGGCUGAGGAGUUCUGACUCGCAGUCGGUGUUCCAGUUCAUCCCAGAGGUGUCGGAUAAGGCUGAGUUAAAACAAACGGGACACACCUGAGCACAAAGUGGAGCUGCAGCUAAAGGUGUGGAUGCUUUUAUAAAUGAGGACGCUGUUUUUUCAAAAUGUAUUUGCAAAAAGUCUAAAGUUG